AUGGAUGAUACGCGCAGAGUUCCCUUGCUGAGCAUCAAGGCGGAGCCGGAACGCGACUAUGCUCCGGUGAAGACCUUCGGGGAGGGCGUGUCGGUUUGUUGGAAGGAGACUGUGAAGCUGUGGAAAGUUGCAGCUCCGGUGGCUUUUACGAGUCUCUUUCAGUUCCUCAUCCAGUCCACCACCACCAUCUUCGUCGGACAUCUCGGAGAUCUUGAGCUCUCUGCUAUUUCCCUCGCUCAUAAUGUCAUCAACGCCAUCGCCUUUGGCUUCCUGAUAGGUAUGGCAAAUGCACUUGGAACGCUUUGUGGACAAGCUUAUGGUGCAGGCCAAAUUGACUCACUUGGUAUCUAUAUGCAGCGCUCAUGCAUCAUCCUGACCAUCACUUGUUUUCUCCUCUCAUCACUUUACAUUUUCACCACUCCAUUCCUCAAGAUUUUAGGCCAACAAGACAGCAUAGCCGAGUUUGCUGGAAACUAUUGUCUGUUGAUAAUCCCUCAGAUGUUCGCCUUUGCCAUCAAUUUGCCCACCCAGAAGUUUCUUCAGGCUCAGAGCAAGGUCGGCGUCAUUACAUGGAUCUCCUUUGUGGCUCUAGUCACACACACAGGACUCCUUUAUCUUUUCAUUAGUGUACUCGGCUGGGGGUCAAUGGUGCAGCUGUAGCUUAUAACAUCACAUUCUGGGAAGUUGCAGUUGGUCAGUUUGUGUAUGCUGUAUUUUUGUGCAAGGAAGGUUGGAAUGGAUUUUCAUGGUUAGCAUUCAAAGACAUUUGGGCAUUUGCUAAGCUGUCCCUUGCCUCAUGUAUGAUGAUUUGCCUAGAGAGGUGGUACCACAUGAGUAUGAACAUUCUCGCCGGUCAACUUGAGAAUGCAGUGAUUGCCCUUGGUUCCUUUUCCAUAUGCUUGAACUUUCAAAGUUGGGAAACCAUGAUUUUGGUUGGACUGAAUACUGCUAUAAGCAUUCGAGUCUCAAAUGAACUUGGAAUGGGGCACCCAAGAGCGGCCAAAUACUCUAUCUGUGUUGCAGUCUUGCUAUCUCUCGUUGUUGGGAUUGUGUCUAUGACAUCUAUCUUCUUAAGUGGAGACCACAUUGCCAGUGUUUUCACAGACAGCAAAGUUAUGCAACGAGCUGUUGCUCAUUUAGCAUACUUUCUCGGCGCAGCCAUGCUUCUUAAUAGUGUUGCAGAAGUUUUGACAGGGGUUGCAGUUGGAGGUGGAUGGCAAGUGAUGGUAGCUUAUAUAAAUUUCGCUGCUUAUUAUUUAUUUGGUCUCCCUUUGGCAAUAUUUCUGGGAUUUAAAGCAAACUUGGGUCCAAUGGGACUGUAUGGUGGCAUAAUAAGUGGAAGCGCUCUACAGAUCUUGUUCUUAUUGAUUAUGACUUCCAGAACCAACUGGGACACUGAGGUGGAGCAAACGACGAAGCGCAUAAAGAAAUGGGGGAGCAAAGAAAUAAGAACUGAGAAGAAGAUGGAUUGCUGAUACCAAUAUGAAGUUUCCUACAAAAACAUAAACAUGGAAAGCUAAUUUUGAUGCAGCAUAGAUUUAAGGAGUAUAGUCUCAUGUGCCAACAUGCUCCCCCACUCAUUUAUGUGUUCAAAUAAAGAAGGGGAAGCUGAGUAGCUAUCAUGGCAACAGUUUACACAGUUGAUUAGGUUAAGUGAGGGUUAAGGUAGCGAUUUAGUCGUUGCUGUGGACUGUGGUAGCUAAUUAGAAUGGUAUGAAAGGGAAAAAUGUACAUUGCGCGAAUACGAUUGAUGUCCUCGAUUUCAACUAAAGAGUAUCACAAAGAAGUUUGAAGCUUCCGAUCCAUUCAGUAAGUGGGAGGUGAAGAAACCUUUAUUGUUCUACUGGCUAGAUGUGAAAUAACAAAUACAUUUACUGCAUUGCAAUGACAAAA
RNA transcript from Fragaria vesca subsp. vesca, 1893 nucleotides. It is a transcript of the gene named protein TRANSPARENT TESTA 12-like, with no coding region annotated. NCBI's taxonomy places the organism in Eukaryota, Viridiplantae, Streptophyta, Magnoliopsida, Rosales, Rosaceae. The record is from RefSeq and is a predicted model, not a curated record. The transcript is spliced from 7 exons.